CGAAAGCCUGACGGAGCAACGCCGCGUGAGGGAUGAAGGCCUCUGGGCUGUAAACCUCUUUUCUCAAGGAAGAAGAUCUGACGGUACUUGAGGAAUAAGCCACGGCUAAUUCCGUGCCAGCAGCCGCGGUAAUACGGGAGUGGCAAGCGUUAUCCGGAAUUAUUGGGCGUAAAGCGUCCGCAGGCGGCCUUGUAAGUCUGUCGUUAAAGCAUGGAGCUUAACUCCAUUUGAGCGAUGGAAACUACAAUGCUUGAGUGUGGUAGGGGCAGAGGGAAUUCCCGGUGUAGCGGUGAAAUGCGUAGAUAUCGGGAAGAACACCAGUGGCGAAGGCGCUCUGCUGGGCCAUAACUGACGCUCAUGGACGAAAGCCAGGGGAGCG
RNAcentral lists this ribosomal RNA (379 nucleotides) under uncultured cyanobacterium. RNAcentral's name for it is "bacterial SSU rRNA". It matches the Rfam family "Bacterial small subunit ribosomal RNA", at positions 376 to 770 of the family's 1533-position model. Lineage: Bacteria; Bacillati; Cyanobacteriota. The record is from RNAcentral.